Molecule: ribosomal RNA, 253 nt
Filed under: uncultured bacterium
Lineage: Bacteria
Description: partial 16S ribosomal RNA
Rfam family: Bacterial small subunit ribosomal RNA
Source: RNAcentral
GACAGAGGGUGCAAACGUUGUUCGGAAUUACUGGGCGUAAAGCGCGUGUAGGCAGCCCCGCAAGUCGGAUGUGAAAGCCCUGGGCUCAACCUAGGAAGUGCAUUCGAUACUGCGAGGCUUGAGUCCUGGAGAGGAAGGCGGAAUUCUCGGUGUAGAGGUGAAAUUCGUAGAUAUCGAGAGGAACACCGGUGGCGAAGGCGGCCUUCUGGACAGUGACUGACGCUGAGACGCGAAAGCGUGGGGAGCAAACAAG